GGUCUGGUGGUGUAGUUGGUUAUCACGUCAGUCUAACAGCUUCCGAUGUUCCCCAUCAGAUGCCUGAGCACACUGAAGGUCUCCGGUUCAAGUCCGGGCUAGAUCA
This 106-nucleotide transfer RNA is filed under the name Colletotrichum orchidophilum. It matches the Rfam family "tRNA". Rfam says of the family: Transfer RNA (tRNA) molecules are approximately 80 nucleotides in length. Their secondary structure includes four short double-helical elements and three loops (D, anti-codon, and T loops). Further hydrogen bonds mediate the characteristic L-shaped molecular structure. tRNAs have two regions of fundamental functional importance: the anti-codon, which is responsible for specific mRNA codon recognition, and the 3' end, to which the tRNAs corresponding amino acid is attached (by aminoacyl-tRNA synthetases). tRNAs cope with the degeneracy of the genetic code in two manners: having more than one tRNA (with a specific anti-codon) for a particular amino acid; and 'wobble' base-pairing, i.e. permitting non-standard base-pairing at the 3rd anti-codon position. Lineage: Eukaryota; Fungi; Ascomycota; Sordariomycetes; Glomerellales; Glomerellaceae. The record is from Rfam by way of RNAcentral.